RNAcentral lists this ribosomal RNA (253 nucleotides) under uncultured bacterium. RNAcentral's name for it is "partial 16S ribosomal RNA". It matches the Rfam family "Bacterial small subunit ribosomal RNA", at positions 524 to 776 of the family's 1533-position model. The record is from RNAcentral.
UACAGAGGUGGCAAGCGUUGUUCGGAAUUACUGGGCGUAAAGAGCUCGUAGGCGGUUUGUUGCGUCGGCUGUGAAAUCCCGAGGCUCAACCUCGGGUCUGCAGUCGAUACGAGCAAACUAGAGUGUUGCAGGGGAGACUGGAAUUCCUGGUGUAGCGGUGAAAUGCGCAGAUAUCAGGAGGAACACCGGUGGCGAAGGCGGGUCUCUGGGCAACAACUGACGCUGAGGAGCGAAAGCGUGGGGAGCGAACAGG